UGGGGAAUUUUGGACAAUGGGCGAAAGCCUGAUCCAGCCAUGCCGCGUGAGUGAAGAAGGCCUUCGGGUUGUAAAGCUCUUUCAGACGGAAAGAAAUUGCUCUGGUUAAUAACUGGAGUAGAUGACGGUACCGUAAGAAGAAGCACCGGCUAACUACGUGCCAGCAGCCGCGGUAAUACGUAGGGUGCGAGCGUUAAUCGGAAUUACUGGGCGUAAAGCGUGCGCAGGCGGUUGCAUAAGACAGAUGUGAAAUCCCCGGGCUCAACCUGGGAACUGCGUUUGUGACUGUGCGACUGGAGUACGGUAGAGGGGGGUGGAAUUCCUGGUGUAGCAGUGAAAUGCGUAGAUAUCAGGAGGAACAUCGAUGGCGAAGGCAGCCCCCUGGACCUGUACUGACGCUCAUGCACGAAAGCGUGGGGAGCAAACAGG
This 429-nucleotide ribosomal RNA is filed under the name uncultured Uliginosibacterium sp. Its description in RNAcentral is "bacterial SSU rRNA". It matches the Rfam family "Bacterial small subunit ribosomal RNA", at positions 355 to 776 of the family's 1533-position model. Lineage: Bacteria; Pseudomonadati; Pseudomonadota; Betaproteobacteria; Rhodocyclales; Zoogloeaceae. The record is from RNAcentral.